RNAcentral lists this transfer RNA (71 nucleotides) under Neotoma lepida (desert woodrat). It matches the Rfam family "tRNA". From Rfam's summary of the family: Transfer RNA (tRNA) molecules are approximately 80 nucleotides in length. Their secondary structure includes four short double-helical elements and three loops (D, anti-codon, and T loops). Lineage: Eukaryota; Metazoa; Chordata; Mammalia; Rodentia; Cricetidae. The record is from Rfam by way of RNAcentral.
GGAUAGGUGGCUCAGCAGUUAAGAGCACUGGCUGCUCAUCCAAAGGACCUGGGUUCAAUCCCCAGCAUCCA